CUGUUUUCAGGCUAGAAAGAUCAAAAGCACUUUUACAGAGAGAAGAUUCGAAUUACUUUAAUGGCACAGAGUAAGUACAUACAGAGGUCUCACUUCUGCGGGAAAACCGUAAGGUAGGCUUAUAGUUUUAUACCAAAAUAGCUCAGGCGGCCAUGUUUUUAGCAAGUGCCUUAACUUAAAGAGAGGCAUUUACCCCCCUGGAACAUUGAAUUUCAAUAUGUUUUCAAGGGGGUGCCUCUCUUUAUGGCACUUGCCAAGAACAUGGUGACUGAAAAAAUCCCUUACGCUAAAUUAACCUGAAGUGAAACCUCUGUAUGUUCUUUAAUACUCCGUGUUGAUAUAGUUAGUAUUAGAGUUAGGAAAGAUUGGAGUAAGGAUUGCAAUUAAAUCUAGAUUAACAUUAGUGUGGAAAUUGACCGAAACCAGAAGACAAAAAUUCAUCCUAAAAGUAUUGUCCUAAAAAUGAACUAAACGAUUUUUUUAUCAUUAUAACCACAUUAAUUUUGUCCUAUUUAAUACCAACAAACCAACACUAUUCUAAAGGUAAUCGUACAUUCAUCCCAAAAUUACUCGAAUUAGCCUGCGAGAAGUUUCGAAUCAACCAAAUGAUUUAUUAUAGUCACCAUAAUUAUGUCCUAUUUCACCAAUACUAUUACUUUAAGAAAUUAAUCUUAAUAUUUUCAUGUUGCGUUUACAGUAAAAAGGUUAAAGCCAUCACGAUGCUGGCCAAACAAAAUUGCAUCAAGCUUCUGGAUUUGAACUCUGGAGAAGCCCCCGUUAUCCUUUCGCCUUCAGGGGGCAUAUCGUAGCCUUCCUUCCAGCAUUCGACGCAUACGAUGAAUAACAUGAGGAUCAAACCAAGGGACCACAAACUCCGUCCCAUUCUUCCGCUCAGCAUCUUGAGAUGGUUGAGAUGUGAUGGAUGCAAAAAGCU
RNAcentral lists this long non-coding RNA (934 nucleotides) under Paramuricea clavata. Lineage: Eukaryota; Metazoa; Cnidaria; Anthozoa; Malacalcyonacea; Plexauridae. The record is from RNAcentral.